CUCUGUUCUCCUCCCAAGUUCUAUGCUCCGGAGGCUUGGCUGAGAUUGCUCUUGGCUCCCAACACCCGGCCAUACAGGAAGCUGACCGGCAGGUUGGGGUCACGGGCUCAGGUACCUCCUCCGCUGGGAGCGACGGCUCCGAGCUGCGGAGCCCGCCGCCGGCAAGGACCACCGACUGCUUUAGGGCGCGGUACUCGCGGUAGAGAGCUGGGUGGGUGGGAGGACGGGAGUCGGGGUCAGGGCGGGGUCCGCAUCACCUCGCUCCCCCUUCCCCCGGCAGGCCGUCCCGCGCUCCGCGGUCCCCGGUAUCGCAUUGCUCACCGCGGACGUCCUCGGGCGCCGCCUCCACGUCUUCCUGUGAAGGGAACGUGUCAGACGGAGGCUGCGCCCUCUAUAGCUCUCCCCUCCCACUACAGCUCGUACCUGGCCGGGCCGCCGCCGGUGCUGCCGCCUGAACCCGCGCUCCCACUCCUGGAGUUGCGUCCGCACGUCCCGCAGCCGCUCCAUAGGGAUCCAGUCCCGCGUCCUGCGAAUCUUCCCGCCACACCAGCGACGUCGGUCUACCAGCCAAUGGAGCUGCGCGGCAGGGCUGGGGCGGGGCCGCUGGGACGGAUGACCAAUCCGCCGGGCCCUGUAGGGUCGACCAAUGGGUCGUGUCUACGUCAUCGCCGCGCGCCGCGGGGCUGGGCGGGGCCGGUGGACAGCCGAGGCGGGGCUGGAGACUGUGGUGGUGGCUCUGGGGUCGGUGAGCGCGGGCCGCGGGCCUUGGGCCGAAGUGAUGCGGCGCGUCGGCAGGACUGACUGGACAAAGGGGCGUAGCGCCGGGCGCUCGUGCCGGGGAGGCGAGGGCUGGCGCUUGUGAGCCUGGGCGGUGCCGCUGGGGGCGGGAACGGCCUGGGAGACCCCCACGCCGUGAGAACGGCCUCGGGGUCGCCGGGGAUUCGCCAGGCCUGGGGGAACAGACCUGCUCGGGCGGCGGAGGGUCGUCAGGUUGAGGGCCCGUAGGAGCCCGACAGGGGCUUUUGCGCUUGUUCCAGCGCCGGACGAUCGGGGGCAUCGCGUAGAGACUCUUAUCCGGGCGGCCAGGUCGGCUGCCUUCGUUUCCUUUUGCGACAGGUGCUCAUUCCGUCUGUCUUGUCACCGAGGUAUGCAUCGUCCUCGCGAGAUUUGUGCACGGGAGCGGCAAGCCGAGGGUGGGCAUACGGGGUUUCCCAGAAGUGGCUCCUGAAGGGCUUGGCCUCGAGAGGUCAGUAAGCUCAAGGCCCUGUGGCUGGAAUGCUCUCUGUCGCUUUCCUGGGCUGUGACCUUGGUCAAGGCCUAGGCCUUAGCUUUCCUAACUGUAGGAGGGGGAUCAGCGUAAGGUGGCUGGCCCACAGGAAGCAGGGCCGAGCCCUUCUGUCGCAGAUAUUCUGCAACCUCGGGUCUUUUGCAUGCAUCUUCUCAGCUUGUGUGCUGUUUGUGCCUCAUUUGAGCAAGCUCAGGCUUGGGCCUUUUUGAAUCCUUGGUUUCUCUCCACGUUGAUUCCUCAGGGAAGAAGAGAGAUGCUUAGACAGGUGGCAAGGGUCACAGAAGGUGAGACUUGCUUUUUCUCGGGGGUUUCCAUCCCUGGUGACAUCCCAGAAAACAGUAAUUAUCCCUUGGGCUAACGUUGAGGGCCUUGAUCCCAGGCCAUGUCAUUUUAACUCUGUUUCCCAGGUUUUAAUCUUUUAAGCCCUGAUGUUAUUAAGCUGUGUCUGUGCUUUGUGGAAUCUGAGAGCAGCCCUCAAAUACAUCUGUGAGGAAGAUGAGGGAGGGAGCUGUGAGGGGGCUGCAGGCCCCCCUGGGAGAACUCCAUCUGCUGCAGGCUGACAACGGGCUACAGGGAGGGGCCUGGGCUCUAUUCUACUUUUGAGGAAGGAUUUCUGAAACAGCUUUGUGAUUUGGGGCCAAUGGGGCCUCUGCAGAGCAGUAACCAUCUGUAGAAGCACAAGUAAACUCAGUGGUGACACCAUUUAUGUACUACGAUGCUUUGUUUUCCUAACAAAGCCUUUUGCUUCUGUAGGUUGGGGCCUGGGGUGUGGCCUUGUCCCUGGUCCACUCUGCCCAGCCACUGCCAGGUACCUAAGUGGGUACUUCUCUGUGUCACUGUUCUCCACUCUCUGCUCCAGUUGGGCACCAUAUUGGGCUUUCUCACCACUGGUGUAGAGAGUGGAUAUGACCUAGUGGUAUUCUAGGUUUUCUUCACUGAAGCUCCUCUCCUGCAGGUGGCUGCCUGCACGGCCCAGCGCCAUGCACACACUUGUGUUCCUGAGCACUCGGCAGGUGCUCCAGUGCCAGCCAGCUGCCUGCCAGGCCCUGCCCCUGCUGCCCCGAGAGCUCUUUCCCCUGCUAUUCAAGGUGGCCUUCAUGGACAAGAAGACUGUGGUACUGCGUGAGCUGGUGCACACAUGGCCCUUCCCACUGCUCAGCUUCCAGCAGUUGUUGCAGGAAUGUGCUCACUGUAGCCGGGCAUUGCUGCACGAGCGACCCAGCACUGAGAGCAUGCAAGCUGUAAUCCUGGGGCUGACUGCUCGGUUCCACACCCCAGAAGCUGAAGCUGGCACACAUUCCCUCUGUAGGUAUGGACUUACCAGUGGGGACUUCAGGCCUGGAGUUACAAAGAGGGUUCCCUGAGGAGAGCAUAGGUUGAGGUGCAAAGUUCCAAGAGCUCUGUGUGGCAGCAGACUGUUGUUCUGGUCCCAAAGUGGCUGGGAGGGGUUGUAGGCCCUGCUCUCUCAUCCCAUCUCAGGCCAUCCCUACUUCUAGGAAGCACACACUGCGGGUGCUGGACAUGACUGGUCUCUUGGAUGAUGGUGUGGAGCAGGACCCUGGUACUAUGAGCAUGUGGGACUGCACAGCAGCUGUGGCCCGCACAUGCAUUGCCCAGCAACAGAGCAGGACUGCUGAACCUGGACCAGCCCCUAUCCCUGUGGAGGUUCGUGUGGACCUUCGGGUGAACCGGGCCUCCUAUUCAUUCCUGCGUGAGGCUCUCCGAAGCAGCGUGGGCAGCCCUCUGCGGCUAUGCUGCCGGGACCUCCGGGCUGAGGACCUGCCCAUGCGCAACACUGUGGCCCUGUUGCAGCUUCUGGACGCAGGCUGCCUGCGCCGAGUGGACCUCCGCUUCAACAAUCUGGGCCUGCGUGGCCUGUCUGUCAUCAUCCCUCAUGUGGCUCGCUUCCAGCACCUGGCCAGUCUGCGACUACACUAUGUGCAUGGGGACUCAAGGCAGCCCUCUGUAGAUGGUGAGGACAACUUCCGCUACUUCCUGGCCCAGAUGGGCCGCUUCACCUGUCUUCGGGAGCUCAGCAUGGGCUCUUCUCUCCUUUCAGGCAGGCUGGACCAGCUGCUCAGGUGAGUGGGCCCCAUCAAUGCUCUACCCUUUCCCUCCAUGGGGACACUCCCUGGGCCUACUUGUCUGUGACCCCUGUGUCCCCACAGUACCCUGCAGAGCCCCUUGGAGAGCUUGGAGCUGGCCUUCUGUGCUCUGCUGCCUGAGGACCUGCGCUUCCUGGCAAGGAGCUCCCAUGCUGCUCACCUAAAGAAGCUGGACCUGAGUGGUAAUGAUCUGUCAGGAAGUCAGCUAGUGCCCUUCCAGGGUUUGUUGCAGGCGGCAGCAGCCACACUGCUGCAUCUUGAGCUGACUGAGUGCCAGCUUGCUGAUGCCCAGCUAGUAGCCACACUGCCCACCUUGACCCGCUGUGCCAGUCUCCGCUACCUUGGCCUCUAUGGCAACCCGCUAUCCAUGGCUGGCCUCAAGGAGCUGCUGCGGGACUCAGCGGUACAGGCUGAGCUGCGCACUGUGGUGCACCCCUUCCCCGUGGAUUGCUAUGAGGGCCUGCCCUGGCCUCCACCUGCAUCUGUCCUUCUGGAAGCCUCCAUCAACGAGGAGAAGUUUGCCCGUGUAGAAGCUGAGUUGCACCAGCUGUUGCUGGCCUCAGGCCGUGCCCAUGUGCUCUGGACAACAGACAUCUAUGGGCGACUAGCUGCAGACUACUUCAGCCUGUGACCUCCUGGCUUUGGAUGAGACAGGCCAAGAGCUUUUGCUGGGACUCUGCUGGAGGCCUGACAACAAAGACUGGUCUCAGGUUUCCUGCAGAGUCUGUCUUGCUCCUGGGCACACCUUAAGCAUCCCAUGCUUUCUGCAGUGCCCUGCACCUGCUCCCUAAUGGCUGGCUGACUGUGGGCCCCGUGCUGGAUUUCAGGCCUGCACUACCCUGCUCAGUAUAGCUGCACUUGGCUCUCUGUGGAUGUACCUGGGAUCCCAGCUGUUAUCCAAGGGACACUUCCGGGCCCUUCGCAUCUCCUUACCAAGAGCGCAGCACUGUGGGGCUGAAGGUGGGGCGAGGCCUAGGUCCUGAUGCAGCCUUUGGCCUGUACCGUGUUCCCUGCCCUGGCGCUAGAGCCACCCCGCCAGCUGGCUAUGGGGCUGGAGGGUGGUGUCAAGGUACAAACGUGCAGCGUGUCUGGAGUUUGAAUCUUUGCCUGUUUAUUCUAUUCCAACUGGCCAGUGUGACUUCCCCACCUCUGUUAUAUCCCCAGCAUGGCUACUGGGAAUCAACUAGCAUCUGGCCUGCUGCCCCUCCCUCUGGCCGCGUAACCCCACCAGCACUGCAGGCCAGGGCUCUCCCCGGGCAUCGUGGACCUUCCAGGUCACGGCCCCUCGCGGCUCUGUCUGCAGGCGCCCCACAGCUUGGUGCUCCAACGCAGCUUCCACCUUUACUGAUGAGCAUGCGCUGCGCCACGCGGGCCAAUGAACGGCGCCCGCGUCAUCGGCGCGCGCCGCCGGCUCAGCAGUGGAUUUCGUAAGCGACGCGCCGUGGGAGGUGGAGUGAGGGGGGCGGCCCUUCUGGCGGUCUGCCCUCGGUAGGCGCUUCUGGCGGCCCCUCGGCGAAUAGGGGCUUAGAGCGGUCGAUGACGAACAUCUCGUGGCCGCGCUCGUCGCGCAGCUCUUCCAGCUGCGCGAAGGUGCAGGGCCCGUCCGAGUAGUCGUUGACGAACAGCGCGCCCUCUCCUGGCUGCGCGCCCGCCUUUUUCCUCCGCCGCCGCCGCCGGCAGAUCAUGGCGGCCAGCAGCAGCGCCGUGAGCGCCAGUAGCGCGAUGGCCGCCGCGAUGGCUGUCUGCGUGGCCAGGCCUAGCGCUCGAAACGCCAUACUCCCCGCCUCGUGCCUCGGGGCGCGGCCUGGGGGGCGUGGCGGCGGGGCCGGUGGCGGCUGCCGGGACGCGUUAACCAGGAGGCGGAAGGGCACGCUCGCGGCGCCUCCGGCGUUGGCGGCCUCGCACUCGUACUUUCCCGCGUGCGCCAGCGUGAUGUUGGUGAGGAAGAGCAUCCCGCUGCCGGUGUCCGGGGCGGCCUGGCCACCCAGGCCUGGCGCUCCGCCUUCCAGCUGGGCCUGCGCCUGCGGACGGUCCUCACGAGGCUGAGGCACCUUCCUCCAGGUCACCAGGGGCUGCGGGUAGCCAGAGGCUUGGCAGGCCACCCGCAGGUCCUCCCCUAGGUUGGCUGUGAGUUCCAGCGGCUCCACGUGCACAGAGGGAGGAAUGCAGAUGAGGCUACUGCCCGACACCUCCAGCAGACUCUGCAGUGCCAGACGCGGUGGCUCUGCACACGUGAUCUUCUUGUCUCUGGUGCUGAACAGUCGCUGACCCCCCUCCUUGAUCCAAGCGCCCAACCAGUGGAGGGCGCAAUCACAGCGCCAUGGGUUCUCUGUAGGCAGAUCAAGAAUACAGUUGAGGUUCUGCUGGGCCCGGCAGAAGCCCACACCCCACCUCCUAUAGCCACCUCGGUGGAGUUUCUUCUCUGAACCCCGGUUGCUGGGAAUGAGGAAGGUCUUUCACCCCACUUUAGUUCAGUGAUGCCCACACAGGUAUUCCAGCAACACUGAAACUCUAAAACAGAUGCCCUCUCCUGGAAACACCCCCAAUCCUGGUCAGCUCUUUCGCCUGCCUGCCCUUUCCUGGCCUCAAAAUGUGAAAGAACCUCAGUUCUGUUAAGUCAUUCUGGAUCGCCUACCUUUUCUGUCUUAGGCAGGUGCCUAAGUUAUGUAUCUAUCAGAACUUCAGUUCCCAGCUGCCCUUUACCAGAACUGCAGGGUGGUGGUGUGGCCCUCCAAAAUGCUACCCAAUGGUUUAUCAUAGGGACCCCCUCCACACCUGGGCCUGCUCCCUACUGAUGCCACUGAGCCCAGUUAGGGACCCCUGCCUGAGGAGUUACCUGUGAGGCGCAGGACUUGCAGGCUGGCCAAGGGCUGCAGGGCCUCACGGCUGAUGGUGCCCAGUUGAUUCCUGCUGAGGUCAAGCAGGGCCAGGGAGGAGAGCCCUGCCAGGGCCUGGUCCUCCAGCAGCUCAAUGCUGUUUUCUUGCAGGUGCAGCUCCUGCAGUCGCUGGAGUAGGGACAGCAGAUCAUCAGGAAAAAGGGCCCAGGGGAGCUAGACUAGGUUGACUUUUCUCCCCUAACAACUACUACAGCGCGCUGGAUGACUGGCAGGACAAGAAGAUCCCGCGCUUUUGGCCUCUCACCGGCAGGUGCAAGAAGGUGAAAUCCAGCAGCCGCGCCAGCUGGUUGCCAGCCAGGUAGAGUACACGCAGCUGGGCUAGGCCCGCAAAAGCCCCUCCCCGCAAGCCACGUAGCCUGUUGCCUGUGAGGGCCAGCUCCAGCAGGCGCGGUUGCGAGCGGAAAGCGCCAGACUCCAGAGCACGCAGACUGUUGUUGUGCAGGUAGAGAUGGCGAAGGGCGGCGAGUGGCGCCAGGGCGCCUGGCUCCAGACGCGCGAUGUUGUUGUCCUGCAGGAACAGCGUCUGCGGGCCGGGGGAGGGCGAAUCUUACCCCACUGCAGGAGUCUCUCGCUCCAUUGGGGCGCCCCACCGACCCCACCCGGAUGCUCACACAAGGCUCCCUCCAUCCCAUGGGCACUCGCAGCCUGCUCCAACCCGAGGCCCGGUGGCCCCACAUGGUGCCCACCUGCGUCCCUGGGGGGAUUCCCAGUGGGACGACGCGCAGCCGCAGGGCACCGCACUCAACCGUGGCGCUGUAGCAGCGGCAGGCGGCGGGGCAGCCGGCGGCGCGAGGCGGGAGCCCUGGCAGUGGCGGCAGCAGCAGCAGCCCCAGCAGCAGCAGCAGCAGCAGCAGCACAGGAGCCCCCGGGGCCAUUUCCCUAGAGAAAGGCCUGGGACUGCGAGCCUCCCCAGGGUUGGCCCCAGAUGCGAUGGAUGCACCUCCUGAAACACAGGUUGGCAGGCCACUGCUAACAUUAUAGAGCCAGCCCAAGAGCACGAGUGGAGGCCCACACAACCUGUGUCUAACUUUCACAAAGUUUUAAGUCAGUUCGUGUGCUGGGGAUUGUAAGUCAGUGGCAGAACACCUGCCUAGCAUACACGAGGCCCUGGGCUACCCUGUCUGCAACCCCCACUCCCAAUAAAGAAACUGAUGAAUAAAAUUUUCUA
Molecule: long non-coding RNA, 7458 nt
Filed under: Marmota monax (woodchuck)
Lineage: Eukaryota; Metazoa; Chordata; Mammalia; Rodentia; Sciuridae
Source: RNAcentral